GUACACAAAAAUGCACAUAUUGUGAGCUCGAUGAGUAGGGCGGGACACGUGGUAUCCUGUCUGAAUAUGGGGGGACCAUCCUCCAAGGCUAAAUACUCCUGACUGACCGAUAGUGAACCAGUACCGUGAGGGAAAGGCGAAAAGAACCCCGGCGAGGGGAGUGAAAAAGAACCUGAAACCGUGUACGUACAAGCAGUGGGAGCCUCUUUAUGGGGUGACUGCGUACCUUUUGUAUAAUGGGUCAGCGACUUAUAUUCUGUAGCAAGGUUAACCGAAUAGGGGAGCCGAAGGGAAACCGAGUCUUAACUGGGCGUUAAGUUGCAGGGUAUAGACCCGAAACCCGGUGAUCUAGCCAUGGGCAGGUUGAAGGUUGGGUAACACUAACUGGAGGACCGAACCGACUAAUGUUGAAAAAUUAGCGGAUGACUUGUGGCUGGGGGUGAAAGGCCAAUCAAACCGGGAGAUAGCUGGUUCUCCCCGAAAGCUAUUUAGGUAGCGCCUCGUGAAUUCAUCUCCGGGGGUAGAGCACUGUUUCGGCAAGGGGGUCAUCCCGACUUACCAACCCGAUGCAAACUGCGAAUACCGGAGAAUGUUAUCACGGGAGACACACGGCGGGUGCUAACGUCCGUCGUGAAGAGGGAAACAACCCAGACCGCCAGCUAAGGUCCCAAAGUCAUGGUUAAGUGGGAAACGAUGUGGGAAGGCCCAGACAGCCAGGAUGUUGGCUUAGAAGCAGCCAUCAUUUAAAGAAAGCGUAAUAGCUCACUGGUCGAGUCGGCCUGCGCGGAAGAUGUAACGGGGCUAAACCAUGCACCGAAGCUGCGGCAGCGACACUAUGUGUUGUUGGGUAGGGGAGCGUUCUGUAAGCCUGUGAAGGUGGCCUGUGAGGGUUGCUGGAGGUAUCAGAAGUGCGAAUGCUGACAUAAGUAACGAUAAAGCGGGUGAAAAGCCCGCUCGCCGGAAGACCAAGGGUUCCUGUCCAACGUUAAUCGGGGCAGGGUGAGUCGACCCCUAAGGCGAGGCCGAAA
Molecule: ribosomal RNA, 1028 nt
Filed under: Escherichia coli
Lineage: Bacteria; Pseudomonadati; Pseudomonadota; Gammaproteobacteria; Enterobacterales; Enterobacteriaceae
Description: partial 23S ribosomal RNA
Rfam family: Bacterial large subunit ribosomal RNA
Source: RNAcentral